RNAcentral lists this non-coding RNA (27 nucleotides) under Homo sapiens (human). Lineage: Eukaryota; Metazoa; Chordata; Mammalia; Primates; Hominidae. The record is from RNAcentral.
UCAGAGUGAAUGUUCUUGAAAGAGGGU